UUUCCGGUUGAUCCUGCCGGAAGAUACCGCUGUCGGGGUCCGAUUAAGUCAUGCGAGUUACUGGUCUUCGGACCAGAGCGGACCGCUGAGUAACACGUUGCUAACCUGCCCUUGAGCGGGGAAUAACCUCGGGAAACUGAGACUAAUACCCCAUAGGAUGCUAUUUCUGGAACGAUUUGCAUCCCAAAGCUUCGGCACUCAAGGAUGGGGCAGCGGCGGAUUAGGCUGAUGUUAGGGUAAUUGCCUAACAUACCUAUAAUCCGUAGGGGCUGUGAGAGCAGUGGCCCCCAGAUGGGUUCUGAGAUACUAACCCAGGCCUUACGGGGUGCAGCAGAUACGAAACCUCCACAAUGCGCGUAAGCGUGAUGGGGGGACCUCGAGUGCUGGCGUUAAUACGUCAGCUUUUCUGGAGUUUAAAUCACUCCAAGAAUAAGUAGUGGGCAAUACCGUUGCCAGCCGCCGCGGUAAUAACGGAGCUACAAGUGGUAUCCAGUAAUACUGGGUCUAAAGCGUUCGUAGCCGGUUCUACAAGUCUUUUGUGAAAUCCCAUAGCAAACUAUGGGGCGUGCAGAAGAUACUGUAGUGCUAGAGACCGGGAAGAGUCGGGAGUACUCCUAGGGUAGCGGUAAUAUGCUUUAAUCCUAGGGGGACUACCUGUGGCGAAGGCGCCCGACUGGAACGGAUCUGACGGUGAGGGACGAAAGCCAGGGGAGCAACCCGGAUUAGAUACCCGGUUAGUCCUGGCCGUAAACAAUGCCCGCUUGGUAUUGGAAGCUUUCAGUGAGCUUACAGUGCCGAAGGGAAGCCGAUAAGCGGGCCACCUGGGGAGUACGGUCGCAAGGCUGAAACUUAAAGGAAUUGGCGGGGGAGCACUACAAGGGGUGCGGUCUGCGGUUUAAUUGGAUUCAACGCCGGA
RNAcentral lists this ribosomal RNA (916 nucleotides) under uncultured euryarchaeote. Its description in RNAcentral is "bacterial SSU rRNA". It matches the Rfam family "Archaeal small subunit ribosomal RNA", at positions 1 to 922 of the family's 1478-position model. Lineage: Archaea; Methanobacteriati; Methanobacteriota. The record is from RNAcentral.